Helianthus annuus (common sunflower) is the source of this 3093-nucleotide RNA transcript. RefSeq lists it as uncharacterized. Lineage: Eukaryota; Viridiplantae; Streptophyta; Magnoliopsida; Asterales; Asteraceae. The transcript is spliced from 10 exons. The record is from RefSeq and is a predicted model, not a curated record.
ACUUCACCUUUCUUUUAAUCGGGUUAAUGCCCGGGUCUUGGUAUCUGACCCUGAUCCACUGCCCAAAAAUCAAUACCACUGUCUCUCUCUACCAACCAUCGCUCUCACAAACCUAUCUCCUCGCAGAUGUGAUUCAGCGGUCUCUAACCCUAACCCUCACCGUCGCCGGAAGAUACAAGCGAUUUGAUCCGUAAUACUAAUACAGCAAAAUUAAAAUCAAUGGAGGCACAACUAAAAGAAGCCAGUGAGAACAAGUCCAAAAACAGCUUAGCCACAACUGAAGGCAUCGAGUCUGCAGCUGUUACCAAGAAAUUGAUAUCAAGUAUUAGAUCAUUAAACCCUAAUUUUUAAAUUGGUAUGAUGAAGGAGAAGUUUGCUAAGCUUCUGCUCGGAGAAGACAUGUCUGGAGGAGGCAAAGGUGUCUGUACCGCGUUAGUGGAUUGGCUGUUAUCCGUUAGUGGCUCCAUCGUAGAUUUUGUACCUUCAUUACAACAAUAUCCUGAUGGUGCAACUUAUGAAGUAAUGGCAACGCGUCCACUGACAACUUUGGCAAGCAAAAGUUUGCUGGCUUUAACGGGAUAACAUUUAUGCUCGGCAGGUAGCAAAAGGCGGAAACGAUGGAUCUUAUAUGCCCAGUGAAAGCUCCGAGACUGAAGUUUCUGCAUCGAUGAUGGACUUUCUAAAAAACAACAUAUAUUACUGCUGCAUGCAGGUGGUGACUCUAAGCGGGUCCCAUGGGCAAAUCCUAUGGGGAAAGUCUUCUUGCCGCUUCCAUAUCUUGCAGCUGAUGAUCCCGAUGGACCCGUACCCUUGCUUUUUGAUCAUAUACUUGCAAUAUCUUCCUGUGCUAGACAAGCUUAUAAAAAUGAAGUUGCAACGAAGCCGAGAUUCAUGCUUAGGAUGUUUUUAAUCAAAGGAUUGAGACUUUGGCUCUUAACCUCGACAAGGUGAGAUAUGUGAUGACAAACGUGUUUGGAAUCCAAAACCCGCACCACCGUUGUUAGAGUGGCUUAGUCCGAAAGAAGUUUCUCAUAUCUGGAAAGGUGAGGGAUCGUUUGUCGAGGAACUUAUUCAAUGCAUUGCACCUCACUUGGAAGAUUGACACCUAAGUGAAGUACGGUCCAGCAUUCGGGCUCACGACCCAUCUUCUUCCGAUGACGUCCUAGGGGCUCUUCGAAAAUCCUUAAUAUGGUUGCGGGAUGAGGUGCGGAACCUUCCUUGCUCACCAAAAUGUCGACAUGAUGCUGCAGACUUGAUACACAUUUAUGCUCACACAAAGUUCUUUUUUAGAGUGCUGGUAAGUCUGAUUCUUUUUUGUAGUUUGACUUAUUUUUGUUGACUUCAUGUUCUCAUUUUGUUUGUAAAUCAUGUUGUACGAGUAUGAGGUUGUAGUAUCCCCACCUGUUUACAUCAGUCCGCUAGACAUGCUAGACAUGGGCCCCAAGUCUGCAGAGAAAAUGGACCCGGAUUGCAUGAACACCGCAAGACAUAUGACAAGAACUACUGUUUAGGGCAGCUCAUAUUUUGGCAUAACCAAGCUUACGCAGAGCCUGAUGAUAACCUCAUCAAAGCAAGCAGGGGUUGCUUAUCGUUACCGGAAAUCGAAUCAUUUUAUUCCAAAAUCCAGAAGCCAUCAUCUCAACGUGUCUAUGGCCCGAGAACCGUGAAAUCCAUGCUUUCUAGGAUGAGACCACAUGAGUUAUACGACACCUUUGUAGCGGCGGUAGAUAAAGAUAUGAACGAUGCCAAACCGAGGCAUGCCUGCUGUUCCUCAGCCUACUCCAGGUGCACUUCUAACGGGGGACGCGUUUAAUAUGUGACACCCGUUAACUGGAGGAGGAAUGAUAGUCGCGUUAUCAGAUAUUGUCUUAUUUCGUGACCUUCUCAGACCUCUACGCAAUCUUAACGAUGCAGCUACACUUUGCAGUUCUCUUGAGUGCUUCUACACUCUUAGAAAGGGGAAUGUUGUCAACACAUAUGACAACAAAAGACAAAGGUCAAAAAGCUGAAAUGAACAGUGACACACCAGGAAGCAGUGUUCAGCACUAACAGCAGGCAAAUGUCAACUAUAAGGGACAAUAAGCAUUAAUGUCUUAUGAAAACCCUUGCACCAAAAAGUUUAGUACUCUCCAAACACAUAAUCCAUACUCAUAUGCUCAAAAAAAGGCUUCUCAAAAACUGAAAACCCUUUGCACCAAAAAGUAUAGUACUUUUUAACACAGGAAUUCAAACUCAUAUGCUCAAAAACAGGCUGCCCAAAAAUAGAAUAGUUGUCUUAUAGCCUCCACUCUGGAUAAUUCCAAAAAAAUAUUGAGGUAACACCUCUAUAUAAUCCAUGAAACCAUUUGGACAAUCACACUUGACUCUAUUCUUCAAUCUCUCUUCUUUAACAAAUGUCUAAACCGGAGACCUCAUCUGUUUCUGCAAUGUCAAAAAAGGAUUGCUCAUCGGCUGCACCAUUGCCUUCAAUAGUUAUCACUUACCGACAAUCAAAUCAAGAACCUUACACUAUUUGAAAUUGAGAGAAUAUUACUUAGUAAUAACUCAACUUUGAAAAAGUUUCCAGCAAUGCCAUUUCCUGAUUCUGAUUUUGUUUCAAAUUGCAACAAUCGAUUGAUUACCGAAGAGCUAUCUUAUGAUAUCGAUAAUCUGAAGACCGAUGUUGUUACUCUCAUUAGUGCGUUAACAGAUGAGCAAAGACAUGUCUAUGAUAAUAUUAUGACAUCUGUUACACGAAAUAAAGGAGGUGUGUUUUUUGUAUAUGGUUACGGUGGUACUGGAAAAACUUAUUUGUGGAAGACAUUAUCAACAGUACUCAGAUCUAAAGGAGAAAUUGUUUUAAAUGUAGCUUCGAGUGGAAUUGCAUCUUUGUUACUAACCGGAGGCAGGACCGCACAUUCCCGUUUCUCUAUUCCUUUAAAUCUAACCGAAGACUCUAUGUGUUUUAUUAAGCCAAAUAGUGAUGCUGCAGAGCUACUAAAAAAAGCCUCCUUGAUUAUUUGGGACGAAGCUCCAAUGACUCACAAACAUGCCUUUGAAGCCCUAAAUAGAACAAUGAAUGACAUUUUGAUCUCUGGCAGUCAUAGCAGCUCA